CAAGAUCUCUGUGUAGUGUAAUCGUGCAACCAUGAAUUCCUCUUGGCCCUGAGACACCACGUGGAGACCAGAUCAUUCUCCUGGUGCCAUCUAUCUAUAUAUUCUCAAGAAUGAGAAAACUUUUCAGUUCAUAUGGAACGCAAGAUUCCCCUGUGUGGAUGGCUAUGGACUCAAGCUCUAUCAAUACACAUCACAAGACAUCUUAAUGAUGUUCGAGGAAUUAUCAGCUAGACACACCAUCCCAAGGAAACACUUUAUCUGAAAGUUUUUACAGAUAAGAAGCUUUAUCUUUUCUAAACAACACUCUAAUGAAUAGAAAUUGCAAUAAUAGGGGUUUAAUUUAAUUGAUG
Molecule: long non-coding RNA, 350 nt
Organism: Siniperca chuatsi (mandarin fish)
Lineage: Eukaryota; Metazoa; Chordata; Actinopteri; Centrarchiformes; Sinipercidae
Exons: 3
Source: RefSeq, a predicted model, not a curated record